This 332-nucleotide unclassified non-coding RNA is filed under the name soil metagenome. RNAcentral's name for it is "partial contains 5.8S ribosomal RNA, internal transcribed spacer 2, and large subunit ribosomal RNA". The stretch from base 1 to 120 matches the Rfam family "5.8S ribosomal RNA", at positions 35 to 154 of the family's 154-position model. The record is from RNAcentral.
GAUGAAGAACGCAGCGAAAUGCGAUAAGUAGUGUGAAUUGUAGAAUUCAGUGAAUCAUCGAAUCUUUGAACGCACAUUGCGCCCUUUGGUAUUCCUUAGGGCAUGCCUGUUCGAGCGUCAUUUAAACCUUCAAGCUAAGCUUGGUGUUGGGUGACUGUCCGCUUCACGGCGGACUCGCCUCAAAAUUAUUGGCGGCCGGUACAUUGGCUUCGAGCGCAGCAGAAACGCGAACUCGGGCCCGUCGUAUUGGCUCCCAGAAGCUAUCUUCACAAUUUUGACCUCGGAUCAGGUAGGGAUACCCGCUGAACUUAAGCAUAUCAAUAAGCGGAGGA